This 468-nucleotide ribosomal RNA is filed under the name uncultured bacterium. RNAcentral's name for it is "partial 16S ribosomal RNA". It matches the Rfam family "Bacterial small subunit ribosomal RNA", at positions 28 to 507 of the family's 1533-position model. The record is from RNAcentral.
GACGAACGCUGGCGGCGUGCUUAACACAUGCAAGUCGAACGGAAAGGCCCUGCUUUUGUGGGGUGCUCGAGUGGCGAACGGGUGAGUAACACGUGAGUAACCUGCCCUUGACUUUGGGAUAACUUCAGGAAACUGGGGCUAAUACCGGAUAGGAGCUCCUGCUGCAUGGUGGGGGUUGGAUGGUUUCGGCUGUUGGGGUGGGACACGCGGCCUAUGAGGUUGUUGGGUGGGUAGUGGCUUACCAAGGCCUGGACGGGUAGCCGGCCUGGGAGGGUGACAUGCCACACUGGGACUGAGAUGCGACCCAGACUCCUACGGGAGGGAGCGGUGGGGAAUAUAGUACAAUGGGCGGAACCCUGAUGCAACAACGCAGCGUGGGGGAUGACGGCCAGCGGGUUGUAUUCCGCUUCCGCCUGUGACGAAGCGUGAAUGACAGUAAUGGGUGAAGAAGCACCGGCUAACUACGUG